UACGUAGGUGGCAAGCGUUAUCCGGAAUUAUUGGGCGUAAAGCGCGCGUAGGCGGUUUUUUAAGUCUGAUGUGAAAGCCCACGGCUCAACCGUGGAGGGUCAUUGGAAACUGGAAAACUUGAGUGCAGAAGAGGAAAGUGGAAUUCCAUGUGUAGCGGUGAAAUGCGCAGAGAUAUGGAGGAACACCAGUGGCGCAGGCGACUUUCUGGUCUGUAACUGACGCUGAUGUGCGAAAACGUGGGGAUCAAACAGGAUUAGA
Molecule: ribosomal RNA, 259 nt
Filed under: uncultured Staphylococcus sp.
Lineage: Bacteria; Bacillati; Bacillota; Bacilli; Caryophanales; Staphylococcaceae
Description: partial 16S ribosomal RNA
Rfam family: Bacterial small subunit ribosomal RNA
Source: RNAcentral